RNAcentral lists this ribosomal RNA (920 nucleotides) under Miculenchus salvus. Its description in RNAcentral is "bacterial SSU rRNA". It matches the Rfam family "Eukaryotic small subunit ribosomal RNA", at positions 40 to 966 of the family's 1831-position model. Lineage: Eukaryota; Metazoa; Nematoda; Chromadorea; Rhabditida; Tylenchidae. The record is from RNAcentral.
AAGAUUAAGCCAUGCAUGUAUAAGUUGAAGCGACUUGAAUCGUGAAACCGCGAACGGCUCAUUAGAACAGCUGUAAUCCACUUGACCUUGAGGUCCUACUUGGAUAACUGUGGUAAUUCUAGAGCUAAUACACGCACAAAAUCCCUGAGCCCUUCGGGGUCGAGGGCGCAUUUAUUUGGCCAAAAUCAGACGGCUACGGUCGUUGUGGUUGACUCAGAGUAACUAAGCUGAUCGCAUGACCACGUGUCGGCGACGUGUCUUUCGAGUGUCUGCCUUAUCAACUGGUUGGUAGUGUAUCGGUCUACCAUGGUGGUAACGGGUAACGGAGGAUCAGGGUUCGACUCCGGAGAAGGGGCCUGAGAAAUGGCCACUACGUCUAAGGAUGGCAGCAGGCGCGCAAAUUACCCACUCUCGGUACGAGGAGGUAGUGACGAAAAAUAACGAGGUCGGUCCCAAGGGGCUGGUCAUUGGAAUGGGUACAAUCUAAGCCCUUUAACGAGUAUCUAUGAGAGGGCAAGUCUGGUGCCAGCAGCCGCGGUAAUUCCAGCUCUCAGAAUGCAUAGAACUAUUGCUGCGGUUAAAAAGCUCGUAGUUGGAUUCGUGCUCGGGUAUCGGUCCUCGUCUCUUUGGCUUGGCACUGGUGUCCUGGGCUUGUGGUUGGUUCUCUUGUCGGCUCUCCUUGUGGGGGUUGGCAGGUGACUGACGAGUUUACUUUGAACAAAUCAGAGUGCUCAAGACAGGCGUUCAGCCUGAAUGUUCGUGCAUGGAAUAAUAGAAGAGGAUCUCGGUGCGAUUUUGUUGGUUUUGCGGUCGAGAUAAUGAUCAAUAGGGACAGACGGGGGCAUUCGUACUUCUGCGCGAGAGGUGAAAUUUUUGGACCGCAGAAAGACGCACUACAGCGAAAGCAUUUGGCAAGAAUG